RNAcentral lists this long non-coding RNA (1502 nucleotides) under Callithrix jacchus (white-tufted-ear marmoset). RNAcentral describes it as "lncRNA (ENSCJAG00000077717.1)". Lineage: Eukaryota; Metazoa; Chordata; Mammalia; Primates; Cebidae. The record is from RNAcentral.
AGAAGCUGAAAGUCUGGAAACCUAAGGACGAAGCAGUGUGGUUCAGUGGUAUGGCUCUGGGCUGAGACUCAGGAGACCUGGACUUUAGACCAACUCAGCAUUUACGACUUUACAUCUGUCAGUCUAGCUCUCUCCUCUGCAGAAUAAAAGAACAAAUCUCUGUGGGGUUCAUGCUCUUCAGAGUAGGAGUGAGGGGUUGUACAGCAUGAUACCAAAGACCACAGUUCAGUCUGAUGAAUCUUCCUGGAACAUCAAUUUUACCUGGUGGCAAACACUUUUCCUCAAGGCUCAGUUCACCUACUGCCCAUGUCCAUGAAGACCCGAGAAGACAGAACAGGGAAGAGAGAGGUGGCCGUCCAAAUGCUCACUAAUAAAUGUAGCUUCAAAAUAAAGAAAGUUUAGAUCUGCGGAAGCCAAGCCAGUGACCAAGCCUGAAAAUCAUCUGAAUUGCAAAUUCAAGCCCGGUUCCAGCGACACCCACCCUGCUCCACCUGUCAGUGGGACCAACCUAGGUGGACCUGAGACUGAUGUCUUUUCUAGCCUUGCAGAGGUGGUUUCUAGACAGCAAGAAGUGUAAAGAGAGAUUGGGCUUGGGAGUUAGACCAACUUUGGCCAAAUACUAAAUCCACCUUUUGAAAUGCAUCACACCUCUGGGAAUUUAAAUAUGAACACUGAAAAAUGAGAUAACAAUUUAAAUAGUGCACAGGAUUCUGCCAUCAUUUCAUUAAGUGAGCACAUGUACCCCGGGGAGUGUGGGAUGAUACACAAGAACCUGUUGCUUAUGAAGAACCACAAACACCACACCAACAAAUUAAAGGAUUUCUAAGAUAAUAUUGAGUAUAAACGAUGCUUGCCUUACUCAUUGACUUUGAAAUCCUAACCCCUGGGUAAAAUGGUACUCUACUAUAUUAGUUACAUGACUUGGAGAAAGUCUCUCAACCUUUCUCAGCCCCAAUUUAUCCAUUCUUGAAUACUUUUUAAAGUGUGACAGAUUGUAUUUUCCCAAGAUGGUCACAACAUCUCCCAUACUCCAUAAGCUCUCUUCCCAUCAAGAGUGAGAUCUAUGUCCUUGCCUAGAAUAUGGGUGAGCCUGUGAUUUGCUUAUAACCAAUACAGUACAGUGAAAGGAAUGAGAUGUGACCUCAGAGAUAGGUUGCAAAAGGUGACUCAACUUCCAUAUUUUUUGGGUAGUGACGGACACUUGCAUUUGGAGGGCUGAGCCUCUAUGUAAAUAUUAUGGUCAUCCUGAGGCCACCAUGCUAUUAGGAAGUCCAGGCAAUAAAGAGAGACUACACGUAGGUGCUUCCAGACAGAUAGCACAAACUGCCAGACGUGACUAAAGAUGCUUCCAGACAAUUCCAGUCCACAGCUGUUGAGCCCCUAACCUUUGCAACUUCCAACUAAGGCCCUAGACAUUAUGAAGCUGAGACAAAUGUUCUUUUUGUAAUCUUUUUGAAUACCCAACCCACAGAAUCCAUGCUCAUAAUGAAAUUGUUGCUUUA